Rhinopithecus roxellana (golden snub-nosed monkey) is the source of this 2475-nucleotide long non-coding RNA. RefSeq lists it as uncharacterized. The transcript has 4 exons. Lineage: Eukaryota; Metazoa; Chordata; Mammalia; Primates; Cercopithecidae. The record is from RefSeq and is a predicted model, not a curated record.
GCCGUUUUGGCGGCUAUGCGGGAUUGGCAGGAGCUGCGGUGCUCACACUUGCCUCGCCGACCGCCAUUUCACAUCCAGCAGAGGAGGCGGGGGCAGCCGCGGAGACGGUUUUUCACAAGUUUUUCCACAGUUAUGAAACUGGAUGUGCCACACAACAUGCUCUUCAGCUGGUCGGAAAACAAAAGUGUUUUUUCAAGGCCUAGCUGAGUGUCGUCUUUUGCAUGCACUUGUGGGCCCACAGCUGAACGGGAGGCAAAGAGACGCAAAAAGCUUUCUCCAUAUUUACGUGCUUGUAACUCUGGCAUGACCUUUGCUCCAGUCUCUACCAGAGGGCGGCACCUGGAUUGAAGUGGAAAAGCCCUGUUUUCCAGCCAUGACCCAGGGAGCAAGCACCGACUCCUCAGGGGAACAGGAGACCUGCCAACUAGGACCCUGGGAGCCUCCAUGUUGGCAGUGCCCUGCGUCGUCUCGGGUUCACCAGCAAAUCUUCGGGGGAAAGCAGGGCUGGAGGGCGAGGAAACCCAGGAGAGUUCCUAGCUCAGAAUCCCUCUCUGAGGCUCCCGAUACAGAUGCCCAGGCCCCACACCCAGAGACUCUGAGUAUUUUUGUUUAUCGUAUGUAAAAGACUAGUGUAUUUUUGUUUAAGUCUCACAGGUAAACAAGUUCUCUCGUACUUUGUCAAGGGAAAUGUAAUCUGUGCAAUUUGGCAGUAACUAUCAGAAUUUUAAAAGCAUAUGCCCUUUGACCUAGUAAUUUCACUUCUAAGAAUUUCCCCUGCAGAGGUGUGUAUAUCUUGUAUGAAAUGAAGAGGCUAUGAAAACAGCCAACGCCGCAGUGUUUAAAAUAGCAAAGACCGGACACAACCCACAUGUCUAAAGGUUCUGAUGUUUAAAACUGUAGUAUAUCUGUACAAUGAGCACUCCACAUCCUUUAAGAACGAGGAAGGGCUGUGUGAACUGAAAUGGAACUAUCUCUAAGAUGUAUUAAGUUAAAAAAAAAUCCAAGAGUAGCACAGUGUGUAGGGUAUGCCAUCCUUUGUAUGAUAAAAGGUCGUAUAUCUGCCAUCUCAAAUGAGGAACAGUGGUUGCCUCUGGGAAGGGAACUGGAUGGCUAGGAAUGCGGUAUUGGAAAGAGGUUUGCUUUUCAGAACAUUUUAUACCAUUUAAGUUUUGUCACAAGGGCGCCUGUAUUGACUUAAAAGAUAAAAAAUGAAAAGGAAAGGCUCUGCUCGUGAUUCUGAUGCUCACAAAGAUUAAGAACCAAUGUGAAUGAGGAACUCAUGAGACCGCCCAGAGGAGAGUGAACAAGUCUCUUCAAAUAUCAAAAACCAUUCAGCAGAGGCUGAGAACACGUGCCUGGGAGCCAUUCACCUUGAAGCUGAGGAGGCAUGGAAGCAGGCCACCUGUGUUCUGUACAGCAUCACCAGGCUGGAAAUCUGCCAUGGCUUUCCUUCAAGCCAUUACAAUAGAGGAUACAGAUGAGGCUGCAGAGGCAUCUUGAUUUGAGAAAAGCAUUUGAUUGGAUCUCAUUAAAUUUUAAUCAUAAACUGAAUUCAAAAUAAAUUGAAAACUGGUUGACAGAGCACCAACAAAGGGUGAUGAUAAAUGGUGAUGCAUCUAGAGAGGAGCUAUCUUCCAGGGGACAACUCUACGGCAAGGACGGAUGGGAUUUAAUGAAGGUGUUAUGUCCCCACAAGAAGACAAAUCGCGCAGCAAGGAACAGAGGAAGGGCAGGAGUGAGCAGCCUGAGUAAUUAAUAAACCGUAUGAACAGCUCUUCCAUAAUCAGGCCUUGGUGAUCACAACUGCUUGGAUUUUUUCUUAAGGUUUUUUUGAGUCAGGAAUAGGUCUGAAGAGUCCUAGAGACGCACAGCAUGAAUAUUUCAGGUGGACAUUAAAAAGAAAUCUAUAAAUUUACAGCUGGGAGGAUCCUGAGAUCUACUUUGGAUCAGAAACUUUCAAUUACAAGAUUCCCAAGGCCAUACUUCAUUCCCCAGAGAGUAAUCUUUUUAAUAAAUGUCCAAAAGUCAUGGACUGUAAAAAAAAAAAAAUACAUCUAAACUCAUUAAUGUCCUUUGUUUACUGCCCAAAUGCAUGCAAACUUUCAUAACGCUGUUUUGUUGAGUGGAAGGUUGGUUUUGAGUGAACUGUUUGGCUCAGAUUCAAACUCCAGUGAACAAAUACUUCCAAGUUUACUUGCAGAAUUUCCCAGACAGAGAAGUUCUUCCACUGGGCUUGCCAGAGGACUUGAAACAGUGGUGAGCCCUGGAAGGAAGGGAACAUUUACUGGCCCUUGGAUAGAACCCAGCACAGUAAGACUCACAUCAGGCUGAAGGCAGUGCAGUGUGAACCGACCUAAUUUGAGGAAGUUUGCUCUGGGACUCCUCUGAGCUACUAAAUGAGGAGAAGGACUAAUGGGAACACACUGACUCCAUCACAUCAGAAGUUAUAAUAAACAUUUACAGAACAACCUCAAA